Molecule: long non-coding RNA, 547 nt
Filed under: Vigna radiata
Lineage: Eukaryota; Viridiplantae; Streptophyta; Magnoliopsida; Fabales; Fabaceae
Description: long non-coding RNA (VRAD_LNC018121)
Source: RNAcentral
GUUGUUUUUGGGCUAUUAACUGCAUCUAGUACAGUGGUCUAAAAAUUAUGGGUUGGUAUUCAUUUGAAAUCUCUUUGAGUCUAGAUUCGAACAAAACAAGAAUCAACUCAUUUGAAGUUUGGUGAAGAAAGUUAUGAGCAAAACAAUCAGCGGAGGUCAGAGGUGGCAGGAAUGUGUAAAAUGUUAACUUUAAGGAAUUAAUUGCUCCUACUCAGAUGUCCAAAAAUCACAAAUUAGUAGUCAUUGGAAAGCAUUUUGAGUGUAUUUUCUAAUAAAAAAAGAAUCACGUCAUUUGGAGGUCUGUGGAAAAAGUUAUGAUUAAAAUAGUCAUCAAUGGUCAAAGUUGACAACAUGUUAUCUCACUCAAAUUGCCUUUGGGGAGUGAUGUUCUCAAAGCUGGGUUCAUGACUUAGCUAACAUGAUCAUCAUACCAACAUUGGGUCUUUCCACCACCAUUUACUCACACUUAAACACUAAAAAAAGGUCUCAUCCAUUCAAAAAAUAUGAAAAACUUAUGUAAAAUUUCUUUGGCUACUUAUGUGCCCAC